RNAcentral lists this transfer RNA (64 nucleotides) under Hebius craspedogaster (Kuatun keelback). Its description in RNAcentral is "tRNA-Arg". It matches the Rfam family "tRNA". Rfam says of the family: Transfer RNA (tRNA) molecules are approximately 80 nucleotides in length. Their secondary structure includes four short double-helical elements and three loops (D, anti-codon, and T loops). Lineage: Eukaryota; Metazoa; Chordata; Lepidosauria; Squamata; Natricidae. The record is from RNAcentral.
GUUGAGGUAGUCUAACAAGACAUCUGAUUUCGACUCGGAAGAACUUAAUAAUUAAGCCUCAGUA